RNAcentral lists this unclassified non-coding RNA (19 nucleotides) under Mus musculus (house mouse). RNAcentral's name for it is "oocyte_clustered_small_RNA13609". Lineage: Eukaryota; Metazoa; Chordata; Mammalia; Rodentia; Muridae. The record is from RNAcentral.
CAGGCUGCUCACCCUCAAG